AGUGAACGCUGGCGGUAGGCCUAACACAUGCCAGUCGAACGGCAGCACAGUAAGAGCUUGCUCUUACGGGUGGCGAGUGGCGGACGGGUGAGGAAUACAUCGGAAUCUACUUUUUCGUGGGGGAUAACGUAGGGAAACUUACGCUAAUACCGCAUACGACCUACGGGUGAAAGCAGGGGAUCUUCGGACCUUGCGCGAUUGAAUGAGCCGAUGUCGGAUUAGCUAGUUGGCGGGGUAAAGGCCCACCAAGGCGACGAUCCGUAGCUGGUCUGAGAGGAUGAUCAGCCACACUGGAACUGAGACACGGUCCAGACUCCUACGGGAGGCAGCAGUGGGGAAUAUUAGACAAUGGGCGCAAGCCUGAUCCAGCCAUACCGCGUGGGUGAAGAAGGCCUUCGGGUUGUAAAGCCCUUUUGUUGGGAAAGAAAAGCAGCAGGUUAAUACCCCGCUGUUCUGACGGUACCCAAAGAAUAAGCACCGGCUAACUUCGUG
RNAcentral lists this ribosomal RNA (492 nucleotides) under uncultured bacterium. RNAcentral's name for it is "partial 16S ribosomal RNA". It matches the Rfam family "Bacterial small subunit ribosomal RNA", at positions 29 to 507 of the family's 1533-position model. The record is from RNAcentral.